RNAcentral lists this ribosomal RNA (537 nucleotides) under Triticum aestivum (bread wheat). Its description in RNAcentral is "partial small subunit ribosomal RNA". The record is from RNAcentral. Lineage: Eukaryota; Viridiplantae; Streptophyta; Magnoliopsida; Poales; Poaceae.
AUGGAGAUGGUGUGCAGGCUUCAAUACCAUAUAACUGGAAUUAACCCAUGCAAGUCGAAGAAGGAUUGGCCGGUGCUGCCAGCUGGCGUCAAGUUCGAUCCCAUGGAUCAGGAGCUGAUCGAGCACCUUGAGGCCAAAGUGAGUGCUGAGAGCGCGACAUCUCACCCUCUCAUCGAUUUGUUCAUACCAACCAUCAACAGCGAGCACGGCAUAUGCUACACCCAUCCUGAGAAACUUCCAGGUAUCACACUGAGUGGCCUAAGCAAGCAUUUCUUUCAGCGCAAUUCCAGGGCGUUCAAAAGGGGCACGUGGACACAUCGCAAGAUACAGUCGAAGUGCAGCAUGCACGCGAUGUGGCACAACACCAGCAAUACCUUGCCGGUGAUGGUCAACGGCCAGCAGACGGACAGAAAAAGGUUUUGGUGCUGCACACCAACAAGAACUUCGACCAGCAGAGGAACAACUAGGUCGAGCAAGUUUCAACUGGGCUGUAGACUGCCCAGGCUUGGUUUUGUUUUUAAGAGGCCCAGCCCAUGA